Molecule: ribosomal RNA, 401 nt
Filed under: uncultured bacterium
Lineage: Bacteria
Description: bacterial SSU rRNA
Rfam family: Bacterial small subunit ribosomal RNA
Source: RNAcentral
AUUGAACGCUGGCGGCAUGCCUUACACAUACAAGUCGAGCGGCAGCGCGGGGGCAACCCUGGCGGCGAGCGGCGGACGGGUGAGUAAUGCAUCGGAACGUGUCCUUUUGUGGGGGAUAACCAGUCGAAAGACUGGCUAAUACCGCAUGAGCUCGAGAGAGGAAAGCGGGGGAUCCCAAGGGAAACUGAGGGACCUCGCGCGAGAGGAGCGGCCGAUGCCCGAUUAGCAGUUGGUGAGGUAAAAGCUCACCAAGGCGACGAUCGGUAGCUGGUUUGAGAGAACGACCAGCCACACUGGGACUGAGACACGGCCCAGACUCCUACGGGAGGCAGCAGGUGGGGUAAUUUUGGACAAGUGGGCGCAAGCCUGAUCCAGCCAUGCCGCGUGUGUGAAGAAGGCCU